Molecule: microRNA precursor, 103 nt
Filed under: Brugia malayi
Lineage: Eukaryota; Metazoa; Nematoda; Chromadorea; Rhabditida; Onchocercidae
Description: microRNA bma-mir-9527 precursor
Source: miRBase by way of RNAcentral
GUCGUCAAUGAUGAAAAUUUGCUGACUUCACCAAAUUUUUACAAAAACCUUUAUUUGUAAAAAUUUGAUGAAGUCAGUAAAUUUUUAGUGCUGCUGUAUUUUC